ACGUAGGGUGCGAGCGUUAAUCGGAAUUACUGGGCGUAAAGCGUGCGCAGGCGGUUCGUUAAGUCUGAUGUGAAAGCCCCGGGCUCAACCUGGGAAUGGCAUUGGAUACUGGGGGACUUGAGUGCAGAAGAGGGGGGUGGAAUUCCAUGUGUAGCGGUGAAAUGCGUAGAUAUGUGGAGGAACACCGAUGGCGAAGGCGGCCCUCUGGUCUGAAACUGACGCUGAGGCUCGAAAGCGUGGGGAGCAAACAG
This 251-nucleotide ribosomal RNA is filed under the name uncultured prokaryote. Its description in RNAcentral is "partial 16S rRNA". It matches the Rfam family "Bacterial small subunit ribosomal RNA", at positions 525 to 775 of the family's 1533-position model. The record is from RNAcentral.